UACGUAGGGGGCAAGCGUUGUCCGGAUUUAUUGGGCGUAAAGCGCUCGCAGGUGGUCCGCUGCGUCGUGCGUGAAAGACCCCGGCUCAACUGGGGGGCGUCGUGCGAUACGGGCGGACUGGAGGCCAGUAGGGGGAUGCGGAAUUCCGGGUGUAGUGGUGGAAUGCGUAGAGAUCCGGAGGAACACCAGCGGCGAAGGCGGCAUCCUGGACUGGUCCUGACACUCAUGAGCGAAAGCGUGGGGAGCGAUCCGG
This 253-nucleotide ribosomal RNA is filed under the name uncultured bacterium. RNAcentral describes it as "partial 16S ribosomal RNA". It matches the Rfam family "Bacterial small subunit ribosomal RNA", at positions 524 to 776 of the family's 1533-position model. The record is from RNAcentral.